GCAUUAAUGGGGUAGUGGUAACCUGGGUCGUUGCCAUGUUUCGAUUUGCGAAGUGUCGACGUGUCGACCCGCCGGGGGUUCGAUUCCCUCUUAAUGCA
This 98-nucleotide transfer RNA is filed under the name Lentinula edodes (shiitake mushroom). Its description in RNAcentral is "tRNA-Gly". It matches the Rfam family "tRNA". Rfam says of the family: Transfer RNA (tRNA) molecules are approximately 80 nucleotides in length. Their secondary structure includes four short double-helical elements and three loops (D, anti-codon, and T loops). The record is from RNAcentral. Lineage: Eukaryota; Fungi; Basidiomycota; Agaricomycetes; Agaricales; Omphalotaceae.